CCUUACUACUCGCAGCUGAUCAGCCAUGCCGCGUGUGUGAAGAAGGUCUUCGGAUUGUAAAGCACUUUAAGUUGGGAGGAAGGGCAGUAAGUUAAUACCUUGCUGUUUUGACGUUACCAACAGAAUAAGCACCGGCUAACUUCGUGCCAGCAGCCGCGGUAAUUACGCAUUAGCCCCUUGGCUGCACCCAUAGCAUUAUUAAUACAUUAGCCUGGUUGGGGGUGAAUACUUUUCUUUUUUUC
RNAcentral lists this ribosomal RNA (242 nucleotides) under uncultured Pseudomonas sp. Its description in RNAcentral is "partial 16S ribosomal RNA". The stretch from base 1 to 174 matches the Rfam family "Bacterial small subunit ribosomal RNA", at positions 359 to 535 of the family's 1533-position model. Lineage: Bacteria; Pseudomonadati; Pseudomonadota; Gammaproteobacteria; Pseudomonadales; Pseudomonadaceae. The record is from RNAcentral.